This is a small nucleolar RNA of Chiloscyllium plagiosum (whitespotted bambooshark), 114 nucleotides long. RefSeq annotates it as small nucleolar RNA SNORD89. The record is from RefSeq and is a predicted model, not a curated record. Lineage: Eukaryota; Metazoa; Chordata; Chondrichthyes; Orectolobiformes; Hemiscylliidae.
CCGGAGGGAUGAUGACAGUGAAAGGCCGAAUUGCAGUGUUUUCACCAGCAGUUUGUUCUCAGUGUGCAGCACGAUGACAAAACUCCUUGAAGCGACCAUUAGUCUGACCUCCCA